Molecule: transfer RNA, 67 nt
Filed under: Kali macrura
Lineage: Eukaryota; Metazoa; Chordata; Actinopteri; Scombriformes; Chiasmodontidae
Description: tRNA-Cys
Source: RNAcentral
AGCCCUGAGGUGUACGGCACGUAAGAUUGCAAAUCCUAAAGAGCAGACGGAGAGUCUGCCGGGGCUU